UAUAAUUGAACUAUCUAAUUUUUUAAAAUUUUAAUUUUACUAUUUAAUAUUUUAUUUUAUUUUAUUUUAUUUAAAUUAAUAAAUAAUUAUUUAAAAUUUAAAUAUGUCGUUUAUUCAUAUAAUUUUCGCAAUUAUAAAUACAAUAAAAUAAAUAAUUAGUUUAAAUUUUAAAAUCAAAAUAUCAUUUAAAUCAAAUAAUUUGAAAGAUUGCAUAGUACAAUCAAAUAUUUAAAAGAUUAAAUAGUCUGAUCAACCUAAAUAGGAAUAAUUUCAUCAAUACCCUUCUAAGAGAUAGAAAUUUCAUAGAUGCCCCUAUAAAUUACAAAAUAUCAGCAAUACCCCUCUAUAAAACAAAAAUAUUCACAAAUACCCUUAAGAUUAACAUUCCGUUAAAAAAUCAUCUAAUAUUCUAUAAAUACCCAUUUUACCCUUAUUAAUUACUAAUUUAACUAAGUGUAAUAAUUUCAGAUUAAUUACAUGAUCAAGAUCAAUUCUUAAUCUUUCAAUCACAUAAUAAUUCAACAUUCUUUUUAAAAUUUUACAAUUAAAUAUCUAUA
This 557-nucleotide long non-coding RNA is filed under the name Ananas comosus (pineapple). RNAcentral describes it as "long non-coding RNA (ACOM_LNC037194)". The record is from RNAcentral. Lineage: Eukaryota; Viridiplantae; Streptophyta; Magnoliopsida; Poales; Bromeliaceae.